GAUAGAAAAAAAAAAAAAAAGAAGAAACUCCUACUUUAUUGUUGCUUUGUUUUUUCAAAUUCAAAUGCAUUAAGGUUAAUCAAUAGUGCUUUCUUUUAUUUUGGGUAUAUCAAAUCAGAGUAAAUAGGUUAUUUCAUUCAUCUCUACAAGAAAUGUCAGAUCUCAAAGUACAAAAUUUGCUGCUAUAAGAUUAUAGUAGUAAUAUGUGAAUUGCCGCAUAUUGUUGUAGUAAAAUUAGUGGCUAUAGAUAUUUUAUAACAAAUUGUGAUUGUCACAAAUAAAAAGGUUAUUAGCGGCAACAAUUAUUUGUACAAUAAAUUUUUAAUAAUAAUAAUAAUUGUUGUCACAUAUGCUUUAUGUAUUACUAGCAUCAAUGUUCAUAUUUCCGCUGUAAGUUAGUAUUAUAGGCAGUAAAAUUAUUGUUGCUAUAAAAUUUUUGCUGCUAAUUUUAAUGUUUGUUGUAAUGCAUGAUCGUUUAAACUAU
Molecule: unclassified non-coding RNA, 484 nt
Filed under: Hevea brasiliensis (rubber tree)
Lineage: Eukaryota; Viridiplantae; Streptophyta; Magnoliopsida; Malpighiales; Euphorbiaceae
Source: RNAcentral